GACGAACGCUGGCGGCGUGCUUAACACAUGCAAGUCGAGCGGAAAGGCCCUGCUUUUGUGGGGUGCUCGAGUGGCGAACUGGUGAGUAACACGUGAUUAACCUGCCCUUUACUUUGGGAUAACUUCAUGAAACUGGGGCUAAUACCGGAUAGGAGCUCCUGCUGCAUGGUGGGGGUUGGAAAUUUUCGGCGGUUGGGGAUGGACUCGCGGCUUAUCAGCUUGUUGGUGGGGUAGUGGCUUACCAAGGCUUUGACGGGUAGCCGGCCUGAGAGGGUGACCGGCCACAUUGGGACUGAGAUACGGCCUAGACUCCUACGGGAGGCAGCAGUGGGGAAUAUUGCACAAUGGGCGGAAGCCUGAUGCAGCAACGCCGCGUGCGGGAUGACGGCCUUCGGGUUGUAAACCGAUUUCGCCUGUGACGAAGCGUGAGUGACGGUAAUGGGUAAAGAAGCACCGGCUAACUACGUG
RNAcentral lists this ribosomal RNA (468 nucleotides) under uncultured bacterium. RNAcentral describes it as "partial 16S ribosomal RNA". It matches the Rfam family "Bacterial small subunit ribosomal RNA", at positions 28 to 507 of the family's 1533-position model. The record is from RNAcentral.